Felis catus (domestic cat) is the source of this 84-nucleotide transfer RNA. It matches the Rfam family "tRNA". Rfam says of the family: Transfer RNA (tRNA) molecules are approximately 80 nucleotides in length. Lineage: Eukaryota; Metazoa; Chordata; Mammalia; Carnivora; Felidae. The record is from Rfam.
GCCUGGGUGGCUCAGUCGGUUAAGCAUCUGACUUCAGCUCAGGUCAUGCUCUUACAGUCUGUGAGUUCAAGCCCACGUCAGGCU